UUAUUCUUUUCUUUGUUAGAAAAAAGGGAAGGAAAGAAAGAAUCAACAAAAUCGAAGGACUCAACAUAUUCAACCAAUCACCAUCCUUGGAGCAAAUUACUAAAAUAUAUGAAGAAAAAAAGUCAAUAUGAAAAUUGAUAAAUAAGUUCACCGUAAAAAGUUCAUGUUCCUGCAACGACACUUCCUGAAAGUGAAAAAUAUUUCUAUCUUUAAGGAGUUUAAAGACUUAAACCAAAACCUGAAGUUUCAAUGUUUCUUAUCGGUCAGGUCAUAAUAUUGUGUUAAAUCAUCUUUAGUAAGUUCCAAAAAACGAACUCCCAACUCCUACAUUCAUCUCAACCAGUAAUUACAGUAAGAGUUAGAAAGGUUUUCCCUGCUUUUAAUUCUAAAGUCCAAAUCAAGAAAGAUGUAAAUCACAUCAAGAAGACACCUCAAUUGCAUUAAUACUAAGAUUUGCUUCACAUACAAUAAUAAAAUAUAUUAAAAUAAUAAUACUAGACUCCUAAAUAAUCUCAAACUAACAAAUAACGUAGGAUUCAUAAUUCUUAUCCUAAUACGACUAUCUUAAAUCCAAUGUAUAUACUCCAAAAUUACCCCAAGGAAGGGUUAAUUCAUAAUUUACUACACCUCAAAUUCUGAGAGUUUAACAAUUGGUGGUGUGAGCAUGAAACAUACCUUCAACCCUAAAAAAAAAAAAAAUCCCAACAGUUUCGAUUUCUAUGGCUAACGAUUUCACUAAAUGCCUCAACAUGGAAGGCCAAGACAAUACCCACGACGAGGCCAACCAACAACCCACAUUCGCCCCUCUACAAACCACUGAUCCCCAGGCAGCUGCUCUAGCUCAGGCUUAUUCACAAUUCACCAUCAUGCUGAAACGCCUCUUGGAGAAUCCUCAGCCUAGUGGCGAACUAAUACCACCCACCAGGUAGGCGAAUCUUCCCCACCAAGAAUAUAGCCUCCCUCCAACUUACCUAAAUACCAAAGUCAUUCAGUAUUUGAUCGAUACCAUGAGGCGGAAUCGGAGGUACACCCUAGCGCGACCAUCCCCAAUAGCCAAAAGCUAAGUCACACCCAACCAAUCUUGGACAGAGCUAAUCUCCAAAAUGUUGUCAAGGAAUUGGUUCAAGAGUGUAGAGAGACAGGAGAAACAGGGGAUUAUGGUCUCCUAUAAGACUCGUCUUUGUCAGCUGAUAUUUUGGUUGCCGCUUUCACCAAGGUUCAAACUUCUUACUUUCCAAUUGCAUGAAGGAUCUACCAAUCCUCGAAGCCAUCAGACGACCUUCUGAACUAUGAUGUACCUUCAAACCAAUUCGGAGGAUCUAAUGUGUAAGGUGUAACAUUCCCGAGUUGAGUCAUUUCAUAGAGUCGAGUUGAGUCGAGUUGAACCAAACCCGGUUGGGGUAGAAUGAGAUUAGAAGUGGACUUAUUUGAAUGAGAGGAAAAGAUCAAAGCAUAUAAAGGAGAGGAUUCAAUUGCAUUAAAAGAUCAAGCUUGGGUAUUAAGUUGUAACCUUUGCAUAAUUGAGGUGCCAUGUAGGAAGUUUUACAUCUAUUUUGAUAGCCUACCCGUAAAAAUCAUUUUCACUUUCCCAUUUUUCAUGUUUAUCUCCAUCUUCUUCAUCUCCUUCCCUUCCCUUCCUUUCAUUUUCAUGGUAGUUGUGGUAAUUAAGCAUUAAGGCAACCUCAAUUUGCAACAAGUAAGUAAGUAGUAUAUCUUGAAGCUUUGUGUUAUUCAACUUCUUUGAGUUAUAUUGUGGGUAAUGUAUAAGAAUUGUUAUGGAUAGGUGAAGGAAGUUCCAAGAGUGUAGAGAAGAGAAGCUAGAAGAGCUCAAGCUUUUGGAGUGGAGGUUUGAUAUCUCUUUUCAUUUGCUAUUGGCUUUGUAUGGAAUUUGUGUGGUGUGUUGAUGAUGAGACAAUAUCUUGCUCCAUGUUGAAUGGGAGAACUGGAAAUGUUGAGAAAACAGGGGAGACCUUCAUCUUGAUUUUGACCCCAUUUAUUGCUUGAUUUUGACCCCAGUUAAUGGUGGAAUUAGGAAGUGUCAUAGAAGAGUUAUUUGUUCCUCUAUGUGUUAGCUUUNNNNNNNNNNNNNNNNNNNNNNNNNNNNNNNNNNNNNNNNNNNNNNNNNNNNNNNNNNNNNNNNNNNNNNNNNNNNNNNNNNNNNNNNNNNNNNNNNNNNNNNNNNNNNNNNNNNNNNNNNNNNNNNNNNNNNNNNNNNNNNNNNNNNNNNNNNNNNNNNNNNNNNNNNNNNNNNNNNNNNNNNNNNNNNNNNNNNNNNNNNNNNNNNNNNNNNNNNNNNNNNNNNNNNNNNNNNNNNNNNNNNNNNNNNNNNNNNNNNNNNNNNNNNNNNNNNNNNNNNNNNNNNNNNNNNNNNNNNNNNNNNNNNNNNNNNGGUUUGGCCCUUGGCCUGGAAGCGCUCGCGACUUGCGUUGCGCGCUCGCGUAGUUGGCAUGAAAACUCACUGUCUCUCAUUUGGCACCCUACGCGCUCGCGGCUCUCAAGUACGCGAUCGCGACUUGUGCCUGAUAACACACUGUCUCUUAUUUUCUGCAUUACGCGACCGCGACCUCCAUGUACGCGCUCGCGACUUGGUUUUUCCUGCAUUUUUGGACUUUCUUUUUCCAUUGAGGUUAGGUAGAAACCAUGUAGAUAAGGCUAUGUCGCGACAUAGAAUAGCAGAUCUGCGCCCCAUACAGUUUGGAACUCCGGCUACAGGCCGUUGAGUGGAUAUGAUUAAACCGUGCGGUGCGAAUCCGGUUAGGGGCACCAAAACGGACAAUAUUGGCAUAGGCGAAUCCGGUUAGGGGCCUAUAGCAUACAGUUUUACCCAGUUUCAUACAGUUUAUCUUAUCACUUCGGUUUCACUAUAACCUUAUGGAGCCAUUCAGAUAUCUUGACAUAACAUUUCAUGAAUUAUACAGGAUUAUAAACAGUACAAAAGAUAAUCAAGAUAUCAUGAAAGUAUCAUAAUGUGUGAGCUUAUAUGUGCCAUAUAUGUUUCCAUGGUUCUUUCUAUAUAUGUAUGUGUUUAAUUGUUUCUUUAUUUGUUGAGAUAUCCACUGAGCAUUAUUUGCUCAGCGAGUUACCUGUUUAACUCGCAGGUUUUGAGACUGGUCCAUAGAGAGUCCGCGUACAACUGCUGCAGUUCAUCUGUAGAAGACUCGGUCUUCAGGGUAGAAACUCAUUUUGUUUUUCUUUUUAUGGCAUGUACAGGGCAUUCCUUUGGGCCCAUUUCCUUUUGUAAACUUGUAUCAUGUUUUGUAAAUAUAAAUUACAUUAUUUUUGUAAACAGUACCAGCAUGUUAUUAUAUUCAAUAUAUAGUAUGUUUUCAGCAUGUCAGACCAUACAGUCAACCAGUUUGUAGCAUCUCGACUCGGUUCAUUCGGGUUUACGGGUGGACCGGGAAGGGGUGUUACAUAAGGUCUUCCUAACUACCCUGAAAGGAGCAUCUCAAGAAUGGUAUCAAACGCUCAAACAUGAUCCAUUCAUUCCUUCUCCUAGUUAGCCACAACAUUCUGAGCUCGUUUCAUAACAUGUAUACUAUCGAGGAAAAUAUUGUCUGACUUGGUAGAUUUAAAAAGAGAAGAGGGAGCCCUAAGGCAAUACGUAUCCAAAUUUCAAAGAAUGGCGAUGCAAGUGGAGAACUUGAAUGAUGAGUUGGUCAUUAGCUCUAUGGCAAAAAAUUACAGGUACUAAGAAAUCAUGGAAAGAGAAACCUUGGUUUGCCUAAAACAUCCUCAGCUUAAAUAAACAUAAAUGCAAAAUUCAUAGUUUUGGAAAAAGCCAGGACAAUAGAAAGGUAGAAUAAGACAUGCUUGGCUCUGGUGGCUGAUGAGACAGUUAUUGUGCACUUCCAGUUAUGGGGAGAUGAGUGUGAUGCUUUUCAAGCUGGUGACAUUGUCCGUAUUUUCGCUCCCUCAAAUUAAAUUUAUAAAACUUAUUAUUUCUUUCUCUUUUUUUUUUUUUUUUUGAUAUUAUGUAAUGGCUAUGGAAGAUACUCAUAAAAAAUAAGGUAAUUUCCCAUGUCACCAUAUGCUUCCUUCCCCAUAUUUAGUUCAUGUUGCAAAGUGCCAAUAUAUAUAGGGGUGGCUAUUUCACGUUUUUUGGAACCGAAAUCAAAACUGGAACCGUGAAGAACUGGAAUCAGUCCAAACGGGAAUUGAAACUAGGGGUUUGUGGUCCGAUUCUGGUUCCAACAUUUGAGAAACCAUGAACCACGGUUCCAAGAACCGACCGAAACCAACAUUUUUUCAAUCGAUUAGAACCGACUAUUCCAAACAAAUUUGAAUUUUUAGGUUUAACAGCUAGAACUGGCGGUUCCAUCCGGUUUCAACAACUUUUUUUAUUUUUCAAAUAUUUUUGUGAAAUCCCCAAAAUAACCGUCCUAACAACUAUAAAACGCUAUAUAAUGGCUAGUUUUAAAGGUAUUUGUGGAAAGUUUAUUUUUUGGAUUUACUAUUGAUACCCAUUUUCAUUUAUGCUCUCAAAUAAAAUUAUCUCUACUCACUACUAUCUACUCUAUAUUACUCUCUACUCUACAAUCUCUCUAAUUUUCAUUUAUAAUUUUGUCAAAAUUAUUGUCAAAUAAUUUGUCUAAAGUCCAAUCUUCGAUUAUUGUCAAAAUAAGUUCGAGCCUUUUUUUUAUUUUUUCUUAAAAUUUUUUAAAAAAUUAUUUCAUAAAUAUUUAAAUUUUAAAUUUUCAACAAGAAAAUAUUCCCCAAUUUUUGAUUUUGUAAUUAUGCGAUUCGCCGAAAAAUCAGCCGAAAUCGUCGAUUUUGAAACCGUUAAGGAAUCAGAACCAUACGAUUCCACAGCAUAACUGGAACUAUCAGUUUCCACUUCCAAAUUUUUGGAAUUUGAAGCCGAAACUAUGACCACCCCUAAAUAUAUAGGUGUCAUGAUUAAUUUCCUCGAUCCAUUUCAUCAACCACCAUAUGUUUUGAAAACAUUACAUGACAAUGGGAAUGGCCUUCCAAUUAAACUAAAUUUAAGUUUUAAGCAUGCAAAGCUUUCGGUUUAGAUUCUUGCAAUUAAAAUAAAUUUGCUCUUUGAACCGUGAUUUAGUUUAGAUUUUUUUGAAAGAAAGUAUUUGGAGCGGUAUCAAAUUAGGGUGAAUGGGUCAUUUUGUAGAUUUUGCUAUGCUGUAAACCUACAGAUUUUGCUAUGCUGUCAACCUACGUGGAGAAAAUGUCAGUCUACGUAAAUAGACACAUAAGCGUCUAUGGAUCCCAAUUAGUCCCAUUAGAUAUUCCCGAUUGUCCAUGUACAUCAUGAGAUACCAAAUUAAAAAAAAAUUAUAAAUUUAGAUACUCAAUUGUCACAAUUUUCUAUUCACACACCAAAAUAAAAAAAAAUAUAACAUUUUAAUACCAGAUUAACGUUAUACCUUUAUUUUAUGUUUGUCUCUAAUAGGAAAGAAUGCAUGACAUUUAGUUAGUGUAAUAAUGGAUAAAAAUAAUAAUCCCUUUAUUCUAAAAGAAUAAUUUUCAUUGUUUUUACAUUUUUACAUAAAUUACGAAUAGGUAGUUAAAUUAGUUCAAUUUUACACGCAUUUAUCCUUCUUUUCCUAUAUAUACCCAAUAUAUUAAUAAUUUUUUGAUUAAAUUUUGAAAUUGUUUAUAAUGUUUUUCAAUUAAAAAUUAAUAUCUCGGCAUAUGUUUCAAUUACUUUAUAUUUAUAUUUGACUAAAUAUUUAGUAAUUCUAUUAACAUUAAUUAUUGACACAAAUUAUAAUAAGGGUAUUAUAGGAAAAUUAAUAAAAAGACUAUUUCUAAAAUGGAAAUGAGACUAUUAUUUUGGGACACCAUUUUGGAUAGUGAAAAUAUUUUUUUAGGAUGAAGGGAGUAACUUAUUAAGGGCGAAAGAUAAUUGAAUGGAUUUCAUCGCACCUGAAUGUAACAUAAUAACAGAAAAGGGCAAAGCCGAAAAUCAAUAAAUGUUUAUGAAGGGUUACAAAUUGGAAUUCUACAUUCUCAUAUGGUUGUUUUUGAAGCCCUUCUUGCAAGAAUGACCCAACAAAGAACACGAUAGAAAACAAAGAAGCCCAACAUAACCCCCACAUUAAUCCAUCUAUUGUCUUUUUCAAGUCCUCUACUCUUCAACACAUCAUUCCCAGUAACCAAACACUGAGAAUGAUUUUCUUGAUAAUGCCAAGAAAAACACUCAUUUCUCAAACUCCAAUACUCAUUUACCAGAAGACUAUCUAAUGGGUAUCUGUAUAGAGAAAUGUAAUACAUAAAAAUCCAAUACUUAGGAAUAUUUUCUUUGGGUAUAAAAUACCCAGAGAAAAGGAAAAAAGCACCAAGAACUGUGCAUAUUAAAGAAUUCCCUGAAAUAAAAUCAGGAGAAAUAGCACUUAGAAAAAGAACUAAAGAAGAAGCCAUCAAGACUAUUAACCAAACAAUAAAAGUAAAGAAUGUGAAAGCCGAAAUGGAAGGGUUAAGCCCUACAAGCCAAUAAAUUGGAAUAGAGAAAAUAACAGCAACAGCAAGCAAGAAAGGCAAGAAAAUAAUUGUAUUGGCGAUUAUGUAAGAGGAAAUGCUAUAAGCUGCUCUAGAAGCUUCUUUCAUUAGAACUCUUCUUUCUUGAAGAAAUAUUGGAAGAGCUUCAACUGUAGAAGAAAGAAGAAAGCUAAGGCUGAAGGCAAAAAGCCCUAAUCUUUCUGCUAUUCCUUCUUCAUCUUUUUUAACUUUGAUAUAUACACUAGCUAAACCAAACCCACCAACUAAUGCUUGCAGUGUUCUUGCCAAUAGUAGUUGCUUUGUUCUGUAAAUGACUUUCGAAAAUCUCGAGCAAAGAUAAAUAAUCUCAUGCAAAUGUAAAAGAGAAGAAAUACCCUUUUUUUGAAUACCUUGUUCUAUUUGAAAAGCUGAUUCCUCUUGCCAAAUUGAGUAUUGCAAAGGAGAUAUAUAAGUUAUGGAUUUUGAAUGCUCACCAAGUGUUUGUAUAAUUUCCAUAGAAAACUCGAGAGCAUUGAGUUGCAUAGGAACUUGAAAUCCCAAAUUAUAUAUUGUCUCCUCCAGUGAUUCUAAGCUACCAUUAUAAACCACACAACCAUUAGAAAGGAUUAAGAAGUUAUUAAUAAAUCCAAGUAUUCUAUAACUUGGUUGGUGUAUAGAAAAUAAAAUUGUUCUGUGUUUUUCUUUUGCCAUAUUUGAAAGUAACUCAAUAACUUGAAGAGCUGAGGUACUGUCUAGGCCUGAAGUAGGCUCAUCAAGAAGCAAAAUUGGCGGGUCAUUAAUUACAUCAACGCCUAUGGAUACCCUUUUUCUUUCUCCACCUGAUAUGCCUCUAUUCUCUUCAUCACCAACAAAGCUAUUGGCAACAUGCGAUAGGCCAAGCUCUAACAUUAAACUCUCUACCCUCUUCUCUUUAUCUUUUGUACUCAUUUCUUUGAGUCUAAAUUUUGCACCAUACAUUAGAGUUUCUUUCACUGUCAGUAAAGGAAGCAAAUUAUCUUCCUGUGCUACAAAUCCACAUAUCUUCCUUAACUGAGCUGGCUUAUAUAUAAACCGAUCGUUUAUGGAUACACUCUUUGGAUUAAAAUCUUUGUCUUUAACUCUUCCAGAUAUUAUCCGAAGAAGAGUAGAUUUUCCAGUCCCACUUGGACCAACAAUGGCAAGAAGUUCAGAGCUUCUUGCUUGAAAAGAAACUGAUUGAAGUAUGUUAAUAGGCUUAGGCUUUUGGCCUACGUGAAAGAAUGAAGCAAACGUUGACUCACAAGAAGAAAUGGUAUAGGAAAGAUUUGUUACAGUAAGUUUGUAAGGCACUUGUGAAUGGUGUUGAGGUGGCGGUGGUGAGUGGCGGGAAGAGGAGGAGCGGCUGGUGGAUUCCUCAGAAGUUGAAAAGAGAAUAACAGAGUCAUCUUCUAUUGUUGGUUGAUUGAAACAAGAAGGCACUUUUGUUAGCUCCAUUUAGUGGAUAUGGAAGCAUAUGCAAAUGCAAAUGCAAGUGGAGAGCCUUUUAAGUGGGAAUUUUAUUGAGAUUAUGUGAAGUAUGGUGUGGGAGUUGGGCCAACCAAGUUAAAAUUCUUGAUUGCUUGAAGAAUUAAUUAGGAUUUGGUUAGUGUUUGGUGAUCUGGGAAGGUUGACUAUUUUACAUUGCUUAUCAGAAGUUUCAAAGUAAUAUUUCAUUUCUAUACAUUUCAAAUUUCUUGAUGUUGGUGAUGAUUAAGGUGCUAUCUCCAUUAAUGAUAAUGGUUCAAUUUUUUAUAAACAGGAUUAUUUUUUUACUUCUAAUAAUUAUGGAUUUUUUGUGUUUUAUGUGAAUAAUUUAUUUUUAAUUAGACUGAACUACUUAAUAAUAUACUCAAAAAUUAAUUCAUGAUACUAUCUAAUAUAUAUAUAUAUAUAUUCUUAGGCCGUUUAUAUUGUCAUUGAACCUAAUACGUAAUUUAGUCUUUGAAUAUAUAAAACCAUACGCUAAAAAUGGUAGGUGAGAAAAUACUCAGAUUUUCGCAAGGAAGGAACCACAUUAACAAAUGGGUUUUCCCUCGAAAUACAAAAAAAAAGAAUAACAAUAAUGUUUUCAAGAUCAGAAGUGAAGUGAGACAAUGACUAACAAAGCUUGGGCCAGUGUCAUAUAACAAGUGGGCCGGACCGAAGUGAUGUACGCAAGAUGAGCCCAUUGGCUCUUACCAGUUUCUAAUGGGCUCUUACCCGAAUCUCCACCGCGGUUGUGGAAAGUGAAAGUAAUCAUUCCCCUCCUAUCAAACUUUAAAAAUUAGUAAGGGAAAAAUAAUUAUUUGGUCCCUGACGUUUGGUCAAAUUAAUUAACUCGUUCGAGCAAUUUGACAAUAUUAUCUUGAGGUUUAACUCCUUGAGGUUUAACUCCAUCAGCCUACUUAGUUUUUCUGCUCAUUUUUUUUUGAGUUAAAAUACGUGAAAAAAUAAGAAAAAUGUGAGACAAUUAAUUUAAAAUGACAUUACUUGCCCUUUAACCUAACCUACCUUUUUUCCUAUUUCUUGCGCAAACAAUAGCGGUAUCUUACCCUUCAUAUUAUGAUGGUAAAUCAGAUAUUGGAGCCUAGGUGUUCAAAUUCUACCAAACCUGAAUUGGCCUAUACUGGCAUGCUCAUUCCACGAAACGACGAUUCAAGGAUGCAUACUCCUCUAUGACAAGAGUUCGUUGUCAAUUACUUCACGAUACUCCUUGAUGCUUGGGUACUAAGCUUUGGUCCAUUUCAACAUAAAUUCCUGAAUUGGAUUUCGAUAAAGUCGUUGUAGCUCCCAAAAUCAUUGAAAAAUUAUAGACAUUUGUGUCUUCUCCCAUUUUAACAAAAAAAACUAAGCUGCAUAUAAAUGAUUUCAGAAACAAAAAGGAAGAAAGUAGACUUUUAAGACUUGGCAUUGUGUAUAUGGUCAAAUAUUUAAUAUUCAUGCUUUGAAAUCUAGGCGUUAGUUAAUAUCUAUUUGUAGCAAAUGUUUUGAUUUGAAUGUAUGGAUUUUUUGGUGGGCUGUAGUUGUCACACAAGAUGUUUGAUCAAAUGCCUGGUACAGAUUUACUUUCUUGGGACUCUUAAUUAAAACGUUAUGUAAUCGGUGAACAGUUAAGAAGAGAGAUGAUAAGGAUGGAGAGAAAGAGAGUUGUUUGAUUGUUUUGGAGAAAACAGAUAGAGAGGAGAUAGAGAGGGUUGUUUAGUCCUCUGCAUGUUUGUUGUUGAUGGUGCAUUGGUAUGGACGGAGGAAGAGAUUGACAACGUUAUUUUAGUAUUUUUAUUACUAAAUAUCAAGGUAUUUUUCGUCAUUUCCCGUGAUUUUAACAACAAAUUUUGACAAUUUGGACGGAAUGACUAAAUAGUCUAAUAUGGUUAAUCCUCAGGAAUCAUUAAUUAAUAUUGUUAAACUGCAGGGACGAGUUAAUAAAUUUAGUCAAACGUCUGGGGGAUGAUAUAAUUAUUUUUUCAAUUAUUAAUUACAUUAUUUUUGGAUCACUUCCAAUGUCAAUAAAAUUAGGCAGGUUUUUCGCUCUUGGUUUAUUCGGAUUUCUCAUAUUUUUAUGUAAUAAAUUUUGGUCAAAUACGAAAAAUUGUCUACGAAAACUUUUUCUAUGAAAACUUGUCUGUCACAUAACCCAAUCCUUUUGUCUGUCGCUCUCUUAUCUUUACCAAAACUAUUUCCAUUGGUUAACAUGAUUCCAUUUUUAGACUUUCGACAGCAAUCAACGCUUAUGGUUAAAUAACUUCCAGCCAUCAUUGACAAUGAUCGAAUUACCCAAAAUUUAUUCAAAAUCUGGAGGAAAUAUAUCUUAGAAUUUUGGGGAAUAUUUUUGCACCGCUUUUAUAAUUUUUCGGGCAGAGGAAUAUUUAUCGAAUAUUUAUUUAUUUUUUAAUUCAGGGCUAAAUAAGGUGUAAAUAAAAGAUAACGUGCUAUUAGAUGUCACCAGGUAAACAAUCUAUCAUUUUCGAAAAGGUAUAAAAUCACUCGUGGUUUAGAAACUGUUCUGCAAAAUUACCUGUUUUAAUAUCGUUUAGUUGUUUGAUGUUUGAGUAACUUUUCAUAAAACGCUAAAUGUUAAACGUUACAUGAGUUAAUUUUUUAUAAAACGUUACCUUAACUUUUAGAAGUUACUUCAAACGUUAAGUUAUCGAACACUAUAAAAAAAUAGUGUUUAGUGUUUUGACUAAAAAUUAUUUAAAAAGUUAUUACCGAACAUAGAUUUAGAAUUAUAUGCCGGCAAAGUAGACGGGUAAGUGGUUGUGCAAAUUUGAUUAAUCCAAUAUAAACUUGUCAAAAAUAUAAUACCCCUUAACCUUGUUAGCAAUUUCUUCUGCAGAAGGGCGGACAAACGCCUAUAAAAGCGUUUGUAUUAGAAGUAAAAGGGUUCGUCUUGGUCCCUAUAUAUACCCAUGUAUUUGAAGUUUUAUGAUAUAGUAGAACACCACAAAUUAAGUUUUUCUUUCCUCUUCCUUAUAAUUCUAACAAAGGGCUUAGACCAUUGGUUAUUUGGCUUUAGGAGACAUAAAUGGCUUCUCAUUUCAAUUCCUUCGUUUUACAAACCGAUUUCUAGUCUGGUCUGAUAUGGUUCUAUUUUUUUCUGCAAACUGGACAACUUUAAUUUUAAACACAAAAAGUUAAAAGUUUUAUUCUAGAAAAAUGGAUCAAAUGGCUGAGACGUAAAAUCUUUUUCAAAAAGUCAUUGGUUUAAAUCUUGAAAUCCACAAUUUUUUUCUUUAAAAAAUCAUACCUUGAAAUCCACUAACUUCUUUUUUUUUUUUUAAAAAAACAUUCCCUGAUAUCCUCCAAAAUCUUUUUUUUUUUUUAAAAAAACAUUCCCUGAUAUCCUCCAAAAUCUUUUUUUUUUUUUAAAAAAACAUUCCCUGAUAUCCUCCAAAAUCUUUUUUUUUUUUUAAAAAAACAUUCCCUGAUAUCCUCCAAAAUCUUUUUUUUUUUUUAAAAAAACAUUCCCUGAUAUCCUCCAAAAUCUUUUUUUUUUUUUAAAAAAACAUUCCCUGAUAUCCUCCAAAAUCUUUUUUUUUUUUUUAAAUUUCAAAAAUAAAAAGGUCAAAAAAUUACAAAUUACUGAUAAAUGGCCUAACCAACAAUUCACUAACUUUCAAUUUCAGUCUAAAUGACCUUUGUACCUUGGACAUCCUGAACUUAUCAAUUCAGUUGUAAUUACACUCUAAUUUGCUUUUAGGUUACAAUUGCUCCCUAAAAGUGAAUUAAAGCACCAUGAACUUAUCGAUUUGUUGUAAUUUCACCCUAAAAACAAAUUAAGGUUGAAAUUAUAAACUAAGACAAUAUAAAGAUGGACUCCAUAACCAAUCCAAACUUAGUGCAGUAUAUAAUAUUUGAAUUAAAAGAAAGAAUUUAUAAUUUUGCGUCUUUUGUCCUUCGACUUAUUGUCUUUUUUCCUUGUAGGAAAUUAAAUAUCGGCUGCAACGACAAUGAUAAAAAAAUCUCCAUAUUUUUCUCACCAUCCUAGAAAGUGUAACCUUGAAUUAGUAUCCAACUCAUUACUUUUGCAUCUUAAAAUUUGUUUAAUUUUAAAAUUAAAGAUGCAAUCUUGAUUUUUUUUUCGAAUUAUAUGAAUACUUGCAUUUUUUUUAUUUAUUGUUUAAAACACUUGAAUUGGUUAUAGACUCUAUUUUUUAUACGUUUUAAUUGUAAUUCCAAUCUUAAAUUUAUUUUUAGGAUGAAAUUAUAACAAAUCGAUAAGUUCAGGGUGCUCUAAUUUACUUUUAGGAUGUGAUCAACAAAUUGAUAAGUUCAUGGUACUGUAAUUCACUUUUAGGGUACAACCCUAAGCAAAUUAAGGUAUAAUUGCAACUAGAUUGAUAACUUUAGAGUGCUCAGGAUAUAAAGAUUGAUUUAGAAUGAAAUUGCAAUUACUCAAAAAGUUCAAGGUGAAAUUGUUUGUUAGGCCCAAAACAAUAGUCUAAAUUUUCUUAAAAAUCAACUUUAAUAUGGUGUAACCAAUUUCUAAAAAAUUCUUAUUUUGUAACUAAUAGUUAUUUUUUAAUUUAUUUAAUAAAAUAAUAAAAUUUUAAGUUAAUUAGCACACAAAUACUUUUAUAUUUUAUAUGAUUUAUGAAUGAUUUAAAUAUUACAAUAACAUCAUAUGUAUUUUACACAAAUAUGAUCAUUGUGUGUAUUUAUGCAAGCUACAAAAAGAGCAUACAUGUCAAAGGUUCCAUAUGCGAAUACUAUUGAUAGUUGAUGUAUGUUAUAGUGUGUACAAGGCCUGACAUUUCGCAGGCAAUUGAAUUUGUGAGCAGGUAUGUGAAUGAUCCUACUAAGGAGAAUUGACAAGUUAUAAAAUGGAUUCUAUGAUACAUUCUGAACAUCAGGGAUGUUGGACUGAUCCUUGAAUAGGAUAAAGAAGUCAAUCAAUGUGCAGUUGGUUACUGUGAUUCUGAUUAUGCUAGUGAUUUGGAUAAACGUUGGUGAACUAUUGGCUAUAUAUUUACUCUUACUAAAGCACCGAUGAGUAGAAAGUCUACUUUACAGUCAAUACAAAGGCAUAUUAUAUGGUAAUUACAAGGCUAUUAAGGAGGCAUUUUGACUUCAAGAAUUGCUUAUUGAAUUGAGAGUUAGACAAAAGCACAUAAAAGUGCAUUGUGACGAUUAGAGUGCUAUUCAUUUAAUAAAGAAUCAAAUUUAUCAAGCAAGGCCGAAGCUUAUUGAUGCUCGAUAUCCCUUUGUGCUAGAGAUUUUAGAAGAAGGUGUUAUACUGUUUGAAAAGAUCAUGACAAAUAGAAAAUCAUGCUGAUAUGAAGACAAAAGUAGUGAUCCAUUUUUCAUGAUGUUAUACACGGAUCAAAUAUAUCAUGGCAAAUUUUUUAGAAAAAAUCGACCAUCAAGUUCAAAAAUUGUUUAAACUUGUUUGAACUUGAUAAAUAACAUUGAAAAUUGAAGUUGCACUUUAUGUGCAUUUUGAAGACACUACAUCAUUGUGAGAGAAUUGAAAGAUUGUAACUAAGGAAAUUUCACCAACGUGGCGAUUUUUUGGCAUAUGUAGCUCAAUCUCACAUUGGUGGGCAUAAAAGGUGAGGCGGUAGCUUCGACUAUAAAACUAACCCCUCCCAAUUAUUGAUAUACCAUCUGCAAAAGCCAUCUGUUUUUUACAUAGACAUUUGGCUUAGCUAUCUCUUUUCUCCAUUUGUAAUAUUUCUUUUGUUAGUGAAAUAUUAUUUGGAUAGUGUCAGAGGACAUAGGCAAAUGAAUGAACCUCAUUAAAUUUGAUGAGUUUUCCUUUUUGUCCAUUUUAUAGUUUAUCUUUGUGCAUUUUAUUUUAUAAUUUUUUUAUUGGUGUGCAUAGUGAUAUAUUGUGCUAUUAAUUAUAUGCCUAGGUUAUUGAAUUUUAAGUGGGAUUGCUUGUGACCCAUCCAAUCAUUUAGAAAUUUAUUUGGUGUAACUUUUCUUUUUGCAAAAACAAGAAAUUAUUAUUAUCAUAAAAUAAGAGUACAAGAGGUGAAGUUAUCAAGUACUACCAAGAGCAUAUAAGAUUUAUUUAGAAAGAAAACAUGGUUGUUAAAAUAGUAUAUGUUUAAGGGAAGGGAGAAUAACCCAUUGGCAACUGCUAUGCUAUGGUGCCAAGCUUCCUUUACGAUGAUCGUCCAAAGUUUAGAUUUGAUCUUUGACAAACAAAAUCUAGUGCAUAAAUCCAUCUUGAUGUGGAGAAUUUACCAGUUCUCCUUUAUAUCAAGCCACUUCCAUGUAAGAUUCUUAUCAAGACCUUCCUUAAGUGUGACAUCCUACUGAAUUGAGUUGUUUCAUUUAGCAAGUCGAGUCGAGUCGGAACGAACCAGAACACGGUUCAAGCCAUAAAAAUUAAAUAAAUCAAAGACUUGGACUUAAUUGAAUGAAACAUAAAGAUGUAGACUCAAUUGCAAUAAAAGUAUAAGGAUUAGGACCUAAUUCAAAUAAAGUAUAAAGUUUAGGUAUUAAAUGGUAAAAUAUUGAAAAUUUAGGUACUAUUUGGUAAUUUUGUAACAAACUAGAAGAUAUAUUUGGAGGUUACCCGAAAAUUCCAUUCACUUUACCUUCUCCAUCUUCUCCUUUGUCUUCUUCCUUCACUUUACCUUCUCCAUCUUCUCCUUUGUCUUCUUCCUUCACUUUACCUUCUCCAUCUUCUCCUUUGUCUUCUUCCUUCACUUUACCUUCUCCAUCUUCUCCUUUGUCUUCUUCCUUCACUUUACCUUCUCCAUCUUCUCCUUUGUCUUCUUCCUUCACUUUACCUUCUCCAUCUUCUCCUAAAUCUUCGUCCAUUUUCUACCUUAAUAUUCAACCUUUCAAGCAUCAAAUUCAAUCUAUAUCUCUAUCCAAGUAAGUUGAAUUUCUUGAAUUGCAUAAUUUUGCAUAAUUUAGGGAGAUUUUGGAUGAUUAAUAAGAUGUUAUUAUGUAUAGGAGAGGUGAGAUCAAAGUGAGAAGAAAAAGGAAGCUAAGAAGAAGGUUUAAAGCUUUUUGGUUAAAGGUUUGAUAUCUCUGUUAGUUUAACAAAUUUUCUUGCAUGAGAAUAUGUGUAGUGUGAUGAUAGUGAUAAGAUAUGUUGCUGCAUGUUGAGUAAUAGGUUUGAGAAGGUUGAUUAUGCAUGGGAUGCAUUGAAUAAAUGAAUUGGAUAUUGAUUUCAUGCUGUAAUAGGUUUGUUCGAAAACUGACCAGUAAAUUCAACCAGAAUUUGAACUUGUUUACCGAUGGAAUUAGGAAGUGGUAUAGAAGAGUUAUUUUUUCCUUUAUGUUUUAGCUGUCUAUGAGCUUUGGAAUCACCUAAAUUGGACUUAUAAAUUGAAAGAUAUGCCCAAAAUAGUACAAACUNNNNNNNNNNNNNNNNNNNNNNNNNNNNNNNNNNNNNNNNNNNNNNNNNNNNNNNNNNNNNNNNNNNNNNNNNNNNNNNNNNNNNNNNNNNNNNNNNNNNNNNNNNNNNNNNNNNNNNNGAAUUUAGAAUCACCUAAAUUGGCCUUAUAAAUUGAGAGAUAUGACCAAAAUGGUACAAACUGUGCAGGCUGGAAACCAACAGCCGGGCAGACUAGAAGUUGCUACUUUAAUUCAAUAUUUGACUACUUUACCAACAUAUUUCAGAGAGGUUUUGUACCCUAAUGUGUUAGCUAACCAUAGAAUUUAGAGUCACCUAAAUUGGCCUUAUAAAUUGAGAGAUAUGACCAAAAUGGUACAAACUGUGCAAGCUGGAAACCAACAGCAGUGCAGACUGGAAGUUGCUACUUUAAUUCAAUAUUUGACUACUUUACCAACAUAUUUCACGGAGGUGAUAAAAGACAUAUUUGUACCCUAAUGUGUUAGCUAACCAUAGAAUUUAGAAUCACCUAAAUUGGCCUUAUAAAUUGAGAGUUAUGCUAGAAUUUGUGAAACAUGUAUAGGCUGCCCUGACACAUUAGAAAUGCUGUUGGAAUGCAUAUGUAGAUUCAUUCAGCCUAAGAUNNNNNNNNNNNNNNNNNNNNNNNNNNNNNNNNNNNNNNNNNNNNNNNNNNNNNNNNNNNNNNNNNNNNNNNNNNNNNNNNNNNNNNNNNNNNNNNNNNNNNNNNNNNNNNNNNNNNNNNNNNNNNNNNNNNNNNNNNNNNNNNNNNNNNNNNNNNNNNNNNNNNNNNNNNNNNNNNNNNNNNNNNGAUAUUACUUGUAGUUGUCUAUGAAAUCCUUUUAAAGCAUGAAACAAGUUAGCGACGUAUAGAAUGAGACAGCAUACAGGUAAACAGUAUGGUUUAUGCAUUUUAAGAACAAUACAGAUAAUACGCUCCACUGAGGUUAGGUAGAAACCACGUAGAUAAGGCUAUGUCGCGACAUAGGAUAGUAGAUCUGCGUCCCAUGCAGUUUGGUACUCCGGCUAUUGGCCAUUGAGUGGAUAUGAUUUAUAUACGGGUUAUAGCAACCCAGCCAUACAGUAUUCAUCCAGUUUCAUACAGUACUUCUUAUCACCUUGGUUUCACUGUAACUUUAUGGAGCCAUACAGUUAUAAAAUUGUGUUAUUUAUAAAUUAUACGAUGUUUAAUAAAAAUUUCAUAAUUCAUACAGUAUAAUGAACACCAGGUAAGACCAUGAAAGUAUAAUGAUAUGUGUGCUUACAUGCUUAAUUAUUUAAUUCUUAUUAAGUUGAGAUAUCCACUGAGCUUCAUUUGCUCAGUGAGUUACCUGUUUUAACUCGCAGGUUUUGGGUCUGGACCGUAGAGAGUCAUCUUUACAACUGCUGCAGUUCAUCUUUUGAAGACCCAGUCUUCAGGGUAACUACUCAUUUUGAUAUUUUGGUUCUGUGGCAUGUACAUGGCACAUAGUUGGGCCCAUUUCAUUUUGAAAAAUAGUGUAAUGUCUUGUAUAUAUUACAUCAAUGUCUGUAUAUAAAUGAUGUAUAAAGCAACAACAUGACAUAAUAUUUAGCAUACAGGAUGAUAUCAGCAUGACAUGACAUAGGUUCAACCAGAUUGUAGCGUCUCGGCUCGGUUCAUUCGGGUUCACGGGUGGACCGGGAAGGGAUGUUAAUUAAGUGAUUGCCCCAAACUGAGAAGAUGAGGAGACCUUAAGUAGAAACCAAAAGUAAGAAAUAAAUCCGUGGAGUUUGUCUCGAGAAACAAGGCAAAUAUAUAUAAGGGAUUGGGCCCAUAAAGGCAACAAAGAAGAGAAAAAAAAAAAAGCUAACAAAAAAGGAAGAGACGAAAAGAGGGUCACCAUCGGCUAAAUAGCUAUUGUUGGUGACCAUCCAAACGAGAAAAACAAAUGAGCUUUGGUUUUUUAGAGGGAAGGAGGAGAGUUUUUUUUUUUCUUUUUUUUUAAUUUAAGGAUUCAACUUUGGUGUAAUUUUUUAGUAUAAUUGUUCACGUGCUAUACACAUAUUGGUGAAAAAUACUAUUCACCUGAAUCUAAAUAGCAUCCUAAUGUAUAUAUCUCAAUAAGCCAUUAUAUUUUAUAACUUAAAAAUUAAGUUAGGGUAUCUAAUAGAUUAAAAGUAAUAACUUUUUACUUAUUACUUGCCCUUCAACAAUAGGAAAAAACAAAACCCUCUUUUUCUCUAGUAAAACGAAAAAAUAAUCUCAAAUCAUGUUCUUCAAUCAAGAAUUAAGAAGAUAAUACCAACAAUGAAGAAUUUGUAUGUCUCCUAUUCCCUUUUAAUCUAUUUUAUUAUUCUUAUUUUUGUUUCUACAAGAGAUAUAUAUGAUUCUAAAUUUGUUUAGUUAUGAAAUUUAAGUUUAAAAAUAGAAUUUGAAUACCAAAACCUUAUUUGAGUUCUUAUGUUUCAUUAGGUGAAUCUAGAAUUGAAUGUCACCUUGGUUUUUUUAAUUAAAAACUGCAAAUUGAAAAGCUUUGUCAAUUUCUUUUUUUUUUUCUUUUUGUUUCAUCACAUAUAUACGAUUCUAUAUUUAUUUAGUUAUAAAAUUUAAGUUAAAAAUAGAAUUUGAGUACCAAAACCUUAUUUGAGUUAUUGUGUCUAAUUAGGUGAAUCUAGAAUUGAACAAUAAACUUUAUUUUAUUACCCUUAAUAGGGAUAAUUGCAAUUUUAGUGUAUGAACUUUUAAAAAAUUUCCAUUUUGGUGUAUGAAUGGAAAAAGUUUACAAUUUGGUGAAUCAACUCCUACAAUUUUAACGAUUAAGUGAAUUUUGCAUAAGUGGACAAUCAGAAAUCCUUGUAGAACGAUUAGACCCCACAUUAUCAAUUAUGUGUCGUUGACUGCGAGCUAAUUAAGAUGCCAUAUGAAUUGCCACCUAGAUUAGAUGCACUGUAAGCAAGAAAUGAGUCAUUUACCCUUUCUCUAUCUCACCCUCCUCUUCCUCUCUCUCUCUCUCUCUCUCUCUCUCUCUCUCUCAAACAAUCAUCAAAAGGAAAACCUUAGAAAUGGAUAUGGAAAAAAUCCUAAGUUAUUACAUAAGAUUACAGUGCAAAAGUCUAGGGAUUUUAUGAAUCAAAAUCAGCAUAUUGAGAAGGUAAUUGAAAAACAAUAUUGUCAACAAAUUGAAAAUAAUCGCCUAAGAUUAAAAGUCUCACGUGAUGCUGUUAGAUGUUGACAUUCCAAGCAUGUGCUCUAAGAGGUCAUAAAGAAAGCUCCAAUUCAAAAAAUAGGGGGUAUUUCAUUGAACUUGUUAAACUUUUGAGUUUUUAUAAUGACAAAAUGGAAUCGGUAGUUUCAGAAAAAUGCUCCUCAAAAUGCAUCUUACAUUUCGCCCAAAGUUGAAAAACAAAUUUUACAUGUCAUAUCUAAUGAGAUUCGACAUGCAAUCCGUGAUGAGAUUAAUAAUGAGAAGUUUUGCAUUAUUAUUGAUGAGGCUCGUGAUGAAUUAAAAAAGGAGCAGAUGGUCAUUAUGUUGAGAUUUGUUGAUAAAGAUGGCUAUGUACAAGAGCAUUUUUUUGAACUAGUUCAUGUCCUUGAUACUGGUGCUUUAACUUGAUACUAUUACAAGAAAUUUUAGAUGUCCUUGCUAGGCACAACUUGAAUAUAAAAAAUAUUCGGGGUCAGGAUUAUGAUGGAGCUAGUAAUAUACGUGGGGAGUGGUCUGGACUAUAAGCUUUAUUUUUGAGUGAAUGUCUAUAUAACUAUUACAUACAUUGUUUUGUUCAUCGAUUCCAAUUAGCAUUGGUUGCAGCAUCUAGAAUGGUAAUUUCAAUUCUUCAAUUUUUUUCUAAAUUGACUCUCAUCACCAAUGUUGUUACUUCCUCUUUUAAAAGGCAUGAUCAAUUGCAACCUGCCCAAAUUGCUGAACUAGAGAAAUUGAUUACUCAUGAUGAACUUGAAACUAGUAAAGAAUUAAAUCAAAUUGGUACUAUAGAAUGGGCUGAUGAUACUUGAUGGAGUUCUCACUUAAGCUCUUUAGAAGCUUAAUGAAUAUGUUUGAAGCAACUUGUUUAGUUUUGAAAACUAUAAUUGCUGAAGGGACUACUUAUAGCUAAAGGGGAGAUGCUGAUUACGCUUUUAAUACUAUCAAUUCUUUUGAAUUUAUGUUUAUUUUACAUCUUAUGAAAGAGAUACUUGAGAUCGCACAUGACCUUUGUCAAGCCUUAUAAUGCAAGAUAUUCUGAGUGCAAUGUGUUUAAUAUCAACAACAAAAAUGUCGAUUCAGAAAAUGAGAGAAAGUGGAUGAGAUUCACUGUUUAAAAGUGUCUAAUUUUUCUGUGAGAAACAUGAAGUUGAUAUUGUUGGCUCAAGGGUCAAUUUUUAAUCUCAGAUCUUGAUGAUUAAUACAAAACGAAUAAAUUUAAAAUUAUGUUAUUUGUGCUAAUUUUAUUUUUAUGCAGAAUUUUUUUGGAGAGAUAAUCAUACAAGGCAAAUCCUACUUUGAGUGUGAAGAAUUCGAAGACCUAGUAGCUAGGUAUUUAGGAAUACUUUGUAGGAUAGAGAGAAAUUCCAUAUAUGAGCACAAAAAUCCUUUUAUCUCUCAAAAAUAUUUUUCGGAAAAUUAGUUUUCUUUAAAAUAAUCUAUUUUCGAAAAUAUUCCUUCAAAUCGAAAAGAUUUAUUUUCCUAAAACUAAAGAAAUUUCUUCUCUAAUGUUUUUGGUAAUAAAAUCAUUCACCUUUUCGGAAAUAUAUUUUGCAAGAUCUAGAGCAUUUUAAAGUUAUUUUCUUACCAUAAAAAUGAAGGAAAAUCUCUUUCGGUUUUGGUAAGUGCAUCUUUCCGCAAAUAAUUUUUUCUCCACAAAUAAAUGCUGUCGAACAACUUUUCUAAAGGAAAGUGAAAAUCGGAUUUUAUUCUAUUACCAAAAAGGAUAAAAUAAUUUUUGGUAACAAAGAUUUUCAGAUCUUCUAAACAAGGAAAGAAGAUAUUCUGAUCUCUUUCCAAAAAGCGACAGCUCCUUCGUUUUCUAUAUAAAGGAACGUUCACACCUUAAUCAUUUGGUGAAGUAAGAGUAUUUGUUUUAAGAGCACUCUCUCUUGAUCAAAUCUUUAUCUCUCAAAACUUACUCUCUACCCCCAUUUUCUUUUCAUCUCUACUCUUAACGUUUUCAAUAUUUAAAGUGAAAGUUUUUUUACAAUUUCUUUUUGAAAAACAAUUCUGUGUUCUAAUCGAUCUUCUAAUCUAAUAAGAUUAUUUUUUCUGUGCUUAUAUAGGCGUUUCCUUCUGUCUAUUUAGAAUCUGUAUUCUAUAGUAGAUAGGCUCUUUAUUUGUGAAACUUUUGAGUGUAAUAGCUUAGGUUAGAAGCUAUUGAGAUAGAGGUUAUCAAGCGACCUUCUCCAUGUGUGGGAUAGUAAUGUCUUGAAUCGAGUUUUCUGUACUCUACCAAAAACAGAAAGGGUUGAGGUUAACUAGAACCUUUGGAAAAUCUAGUGGGACAAAAAGGGUAGAUCUAGGUUGUUGAUCUAUUUGCCUUGUACUGUUGGUUUGUCUCUUACCCUUUAAAAGAGAUAACUUAGUGGAGGAUCUCAAGAUGAGUCUUGGGGAGUGGAUGUAGGCGAGUUAGUGCCGAACCACUAUAACUCUCGGUGUUGAUCUCUUUAUUUCUGAAGUUUGGUUGAUACUGUCUCNNNNNNNNNNNNNNNNNNNNNNNNNNNNNNNNNNNNNNNNNNNNNNNNNNNNNNNNNNNNNNNNNNNNNNNNNNNNNNNNNNNNNNNNNNNNNNNNNNNNNNNNNNNNNNNNNNNNNNNNNNNNNNNNNNNNNNNNNNNNNNNNNNNNNNNNNNNNNNNNNNNNNNNNNNNNNNNNNNNNNNNNNNNNNNNNNNNNNNNNUGGUUUUGCAAACUUUAUGAGGAAGUUCUAAGUUCAAUAACUUUCCUUCAUAAAGAAGCUCUGAUAUUGUACAAGUCAGUGUGAAGCUGUUCUAAUCAAUAGCUGCACUUUGCACAGACUUUCUAUAUCUGAAAUUAGAACAUUGUGAGGAGAUUCUAAUCCAUAUUCUACUCUCACAAAGUUCUGUGUGUUUUUCCGCUGCACUUAGAAUUCUAAUUCUUGUUUAGAAUUUCUAAAAUUUAUUUCAGUUUUUAGAAAACCCAAUUCACCCCCCCUAUUGGGUUGUGCCAUACACAUUCGGGACCCACAGAUAUCCCUAAUAUGAAUGCUCAUUAUAAUUCUAGUCGAGCUAGAACCCGCAAUCAAAAAGACCCAAUUACAUUUUAGCAUUAUUUUCGAGUUGAUACAUUCAUUGCUAUCAGUGACUUGUUAGAAAUUUUAAUGGGGGCUACUAUUAAUAGUGGGCUAUUUUAGUUUGUGAAAACGGACUGGAUAAAUACAGUUUAAGAAUAUGUAUGUGGAGCCCAAUUUGUGUUUAUGUGAUCACUUAUGUAAUGGGCUUGUACACCUCUAGUGGGCCAGUAUGGUAAGGCGGUUAAAAGUGUAGGCCUAAUCCUAUAAGGAUUUGUGAUGGGAAGGUUCAUAAGAUUUUAUAUAAAUAGGCUAGGUCCCUUCUCAUUCCUUAACCCUACUAUUGACUAGUCUCAUUGAAAAGCCUCCUUGUGAAUAAGAAAACGGAGAGGAAGAUCUAGUCCCUCUUUUACAAAUUCUGAUUUAGUGUUUGAGCGUCUUGAUUGCAGAUAAUCUUAAAAGAAGAACCGUGAACUCUAUUUUAAAUCACAAAUCAGGUACGCAAAUUGCUUCGGCUUAAUAUUUAUUUGGUGUUCUAAAUUUAUAUACUAGAUUCAUUAAUUUUCUUACAUGACUCACAAUUGCAAAAAUUGAAUGUUAGAUUUAAGGCAGAUUUGAUGGAGUUGUUCAUUCUUAGCUCCUCUUUAGAUCUAAGGGAUGGUUUCAAGUCAUUUAAAAUUGAUGAUGUCUACAGCCUUGCGAAUAAGUUUUAUUUUGAAGAUUUUUUAGAACAAGGAAGAUUACAUUUAAGAUAUCAAUUGGAACUUUUUGUACUUGAUGUUCUACGUUAUCCUAAGAUGCAAUCGCUAUCAACUAUCUCUAAAUUGUGACAAUAUUUAGCUAAAUCAAAGAAGGCAACUAUUUAUCCUCUUAUUGAUAGGUUGGUUAGACUUGUUUUGACUCUUCUAGCCUCAACAACAACUACUGACCAUGGUUUCUCGGCUAUGAGUCUUAUAAAGAAUAAGCUUCGUAAUAAGAUGGCAUAUGAUUUUCUUGCAAAUUCCUUGAUUAUAUAUAUUGAGAUAGAUAUAGUUGAUACUUUGAGUAUCAAUUUUAUAAUUGAUGAGUUUUACACCACGAAAGAGCGACAGGUGUAGCUCAAGACGCGAGAAGACAUCAAGUAUAAAUAUACAAGAUAAAUUGUAAUCUUAGAUGUCUAUUUGAAUUUUCUUCUAUUUUCUUUUAUUAUUCGUUUCGCUAUGUCAUUUUUUUUCUUAUUAUUCUUAUCAGAUUUUUUUCAUUUAACAUGCCAUACUUAAUAUAGUAGGAUAAGAAUUAAAGGAAUCCAUUUGAUUGAUUGUUGUUUUGAAACCCCAUGCUAAGUUUUUUCUGGCUUAAUUAUCAAUGAAAAAAAAAAAUAUUAUCUUCACCCCCAAUCUAAAUUUCUGGCUCGCGCUGUUAAAAAUAGUCAGUUUCUGCAACAUUUGUUAGACUGGGGACCAAAAAUUAGUCCAAGGGGUAAAAAACUUAUUGCCUCGUAGCCAUAGGUUGAUUACGAAUACUGAAAAUCCGUCCAAUCAUGCACUGCGCCACCUUCACAAGUGUAAAGAUUGUGGCCUCAAAAUAGAGUGAUCCCACAAAUAUCUACCUGCCAUUUCCGCAAUUAUUGCUUGGAUAACUCUAAAUAUUCAAUUUGGCUCCUUCUCCUGCAAAAGUUAAUACGUGUCCAUAUCUGAAUCUACUCAUACGUGGGGGCAAACCAAUUAAUAAAAUGAUCAAAUUACUUUAAAUUUAGCCUUGUUUGCUGAUAAAUUUAUUAAUUUUUAAAAUUAUAUUAAAUAAGUGUAUUUUUUUUUUUAGAAAAUAAGUGUAUUUUUUUUAAUUCUUAAUCUACAAUUGUAGUUUUUACAUCUCAACUCAUUCAUCUCACGUGCAUAUAUUCAUUGGAGAUAAGUGUAAUUAUAGUAUAUUAUAUUUGACUUAUCUAAAUAUAAUUCUAAAAUAUACAUCUAGACAUAACAUAAUGAUAAAUGCAUUUACAAUCUAAUAGCUGUUCAAGUUCGAAUCUCCUUCUCCAAUACUCAAUAUAUAUAUAUAUAUAUAUAAAUGAAAUAUUUACUUGAAUUAUUGAUUACCGUUUGUAUCCGCUUAAGUAUAUUGAAUUUUAAACAAAUUACUCCUACUAGCUUUUAUUUUUUUUAUUUUUUAAAGGCAGACUAAUUUUUAAUUAGUUAGUUUAAUCCUAUCGUCUUAUAUAAAUAAAUUUUUAUAAUAGUACAUGCCAUAUAAAAGAUAAUAAUUAUUAAACUCAUUUUUAUUCAAAAUCGAAAUUACAAUAAUUAAAUCAUAAUAAAAAAUUUUCAAUUAUAUAAUAGUAAUGAUAAUAGUCAAAAAUCAUUGAGAGCUUAUAGGAUAUUAUUAACAGAAAUAUAUUUUACUUAAAUUUUAAUUUAAAAAAAUAAACUUUUUUUUUUGUCAUCGCUGAAAUAUUUGUUAAGUUUUUUCCUUUUUAUUAUUAUUAUUAUUAUUAUUAUUAUUCUCUAAUAAAAGUAAUUUGAUUACUGACAAAAAACAAAUUUAUAGGCAUAAAGAGUAUAUGAUUUCCAUUAAUUAUUUUUGAAAGACUUUUUAAUUUUAAUUGAUUCCUUGAUUUUUUUCUUAAUGCAUUCCAACUAAAAAAGGACAUAGGAUUUAUUAAAUGCAUAAAUGGUAUUGUCAAUAUGUCUGGUGAGGUCCAGCAUUCUGGUCACCAAAAUAUCAAUGUCUGUCUUCCCUCACUGGCUUUACUUUAUAUAUUAGUUUUUAUUUUACCUCUCAGCCUGGAUAAAAAAAUUUUGUGGCACUCUGAAUUAUAAAAUUGAUUUUAUCUUAAAUUCAAUUUUUUUUAAUAAUUUCAUACUUCUCUAUACUACAAACAGUAAAUUUUAAAGUUUUUUGGCUUUCAUAUAUAAAAUAUUAACUCGAUACGUGGUUAAUAACUUUUGGAAUAAUAAUUUUAUAUUUUUUUUACUUUUUAAUAGGUGUUUAAUUGAUCUAAUUUUAUAAGUUGAAGUAUUCAACUGAUCAAAUAAGUAUUUAACAAGAAUAAUUUUAUAAGUUAAAGUGUUUAACUGGUCAAAACAAAAGUUGAGGGUGUCACAAUUUUUAUAAAAAGUAUAAAAAUAAAUUUAUGUAUUCAACUGUUUUUAUUUGUUAAAAAAUUCUAAAAUUUUUGUUUUUUAUUUUUGCCCAAAAUUUAAGUAAAUCAAUUUUAUAAGAUGAAAUUUGAAUCUUAAAUUGAGGAAAGGGUGAUUUUUUUUAAUCAAAUUAAAUAUUCUACAUAAAUUUUUGAUUCAUUAGAAGUUCAACCAAGCGAAAAACACGACAUAAUAAAUAUAGUUUUCUCUUGAUGCAUCAAAUUAAUUAAAACUUUUAUAGCCGACCGACCGGACUCCAGACUUCAAAAUUUCUUACUCCUGAGACGACGGAGGGAGAAGGGCUAGGUGGCCACCCUGGCUUUGAUAAAUGUUUUUAGUACAUCGUCUUUGCGCAAAACUCUUUGCUAUCUUAGUUGCCCUGAUGCUUUCACUCAAGUCAUUGGACUUGAGUUUGACCCUCAAUUUAAAUAAGAUUUUAUUUUAUAGUUAUAUUUUUAGUUUGUUUUUAUAAAUCGUAACAAAAUAACCGUAUUCCUCUAUAUUUGUAUUUUUUAUUUUGGGAUAGUUCAUUUAUAAAAGCUAUCCACGAAAAAGUAAAUAUUUGAUUUGAAAACUAAUGCUCCGUUUGUUUUUGUAAAAUAACUUAUAUGAAAAUAACUUGUUGAAAAAUAUUUUCUAUGAAAAAUAUUUUUCAAAUGACUUAUUUUCCGUUGUUUGGUUAUAAUUUUAAAAAUUAGUUACAAAUAUUAAAAUUUUUCUUAUAAGACCAUAAAAAAUAUUAAUAAUAAUAUUUAAAAAUUUUAUUGUUAAAUAUGAGAAAAAUGUAAAAAAUAUAUAUAUAUAAAUUAUGAAAGCCGCUGGUAGCCGGUGGCUGGUGGUGGUGCCUGAUGGUGGUAGCUGGUAGUGGUGGUCGGUGGUAAAUGAUGACUGAUUGGACUUACUACGAUGAUUAAUAAAUUAAAAAAAAUAUGAAUUUAUAAGAUUUAUCAAUGUCUGAAAAAUAUUUUAUUCUCUCAAAAAUAAUAAGUUAUUUUUCUUAAAAAAUGACUUUAUUUUCCUUUGACCAGGAAAAUAUUUUCUGUUGUCAUUAAAUAUUUUUAUCAUUAAUUUUAAAUUAAAGAGAACAACCAACAAGUAUUUUUGGUUGUCAUUAAAUAUUUUUAUCAUUAAUUUUAAUUUUAAACUUUAUUUAAUUUUAGUUUAGGUUUGAUUUCAUUCUAUGAAUGUACAAAACUUCAUAUAAAUAUUGAAAUAUACAAUAGCGUUAUAAAUUUAUAAUUCAAUUCAAUUAUUUAUUGUUGGUCAUGUAGAUAAAACUUAACAACUUGAAAAAAUUUUAGAAUUUUAAAUUCAUUGAGUAAACACAUGAUAUUUAAUUUAUUCAUUUAUUCAGUGAGAUGGAUUUAAUAUUAUAGCUCAUAAUUCUUUUUAAUAUUUUAAAAUUAAUAUAAAAUUAAAUUGAUCAAAUUUUAAAUUUAUUCAAAGUUGAUUUUUUUUUUACUAUAAAUGAUAGUUUAUGAUGUAUUUUCAUAAUUUUAUUUGCUUUAGUAAAUAUUUUAAAAAUAGCAUUUUUAAAUUUUUUUUAAAAAAAGAAACAGUUCUUGUAAUAAUAAUUUAAAUAAAAUUAUCAAAUAAAUUCUAAUAUAUAAUUAACAUUAAUAUUUUUAAAAACUAUGUAAGUUAUAACUUCAUGUAAUUUUAUGAAAAACUAUAUAUUUUCCAUAAUAAUACAUCAAUAUCAAAUUAUAUAUAUGUUUUCAAUAUUAAACCAUUUAUUUCGAAGUAAAAUGAUGAAUACACGAAAGGCAAUAAAAAAAACAAGACAUGAACUAACUCGACCUCUUGCUCAAAAAAAUACUUUAAUUAACUUAAAAAUUACAAUAAUGUAUUUCAAAUUUUAAACACUAAUAGUUAUUUUUAUUGUAAUUUUUAGUAUGAAAAAUUUAGGAAAUCAUUGUUUCUUUUCUAUUGAAAGUUAAUAUUUAUAUCAAAUAUCUUUAUUAUUUUGUGGCUAAAAACACUAUUUUUAUUAAAAAUAUUUUUGACCAUGUGUAAUGUAUAUUUGCUUGUAUGAAAUGAUAAAAUACAUUUUUGUCCCCCAAGAAAAAAUCAUGGCUAGUUGGCAAUAUCCUAAACAAGUUGAAAGUAAAAAUUAAGUACUAUUCCAUCUAUUUAACCUAAAUACGAAUGCAUUGCAAAGAAGAGCUUUCACCAAAUAUAUUCAUACCUCAUUUGAUUUAUGAAUAUGGCUUGAGUUGAUUUUAGAUUAAUUAAUAUUAUUUUGAUGGGCAAAUUAAAUUUACUUCAACAAAUUAAUUCAAUAAUUUUUUUUUAAAAAAAUAAUAAUGCAAUAUUAAUUAACAUGGCUAAUAAACAUGCACACACAACGCACGAAAUUGGAGAAUACAAAAGUGCAACAUAGUAUAGGAUAAGCUUGCAUAUUGAUUUCUAGUCUCAUUUCCAAUUUGGUUUUUUUUUUUUUUUUUAUUAUAGUUGUGUGUGGUAACAAUUUUUUAAAUAUUUUUUUAAUAAAUAUUAUUUUUUAUAAUAUGAAGUAACAUAGCAUUUGAAAUAUUUUUUAAAAAUUAAGAUAACCCGUUGGCCGGCCCUCCCCUAGAUUUUAUAGCAUUUCUUAACAUGCCUUGAUCUCGUUAUUUUGGUCACGUGACUCCUAUUGCUCAAGUUUGAGGUACUGGGAUCAAAAUCGUGCUGGCUGAAGUUCUGUUUAUUUUUUUUUAUUUAGUUAUUUACUUAGUUCUUAUUUACAAAAAAAAAAAAAGUUUUAGUUAAUUUUUAUAUAUAUUCAAUUAAUAUAUAUAUAUAUAUAAAUUUCGAACUCGGACUCCGUUCCUGCCUAUAAGCACAUAAAAUUUCAUAAUUUUAAUAAAUUAUUUUUUGUUUCCAUUAAAUGAUUUAUAUUAUUAAUUUUCAUUUUAGGUUAUUUAAUUUUAUAUAUUUUUUUAAAUUUUAGUUUUGAAUUUGAUUUCAUUCUAUGAAUAUAUAAAAUUUACAUAAAUAUUAAAAUAUAUAAUAGUGUUAUAAAUUUUUAUUUCAAUUGUUUAUUAUUUGUUAUUUAAUUAAAAUUUAAAAAUUUGAAAAAAACUUUAGAAAUUUAAAUUUGUUGAAUAAACACAUAUGAUAUUUAAUUUAUUCAAAAAAAUAAAUUUAAUAUUAUAAUUCAUGAUUCUAUUUUAAUAGUUUUUAGAAAAAAAAAAUAUAAAAUUAAAUUGAUUAAAUUUUAAAAUCACAAUAACGUAUUUAAAAUUUUAAAUACUAAUAUUUAUUUUCACUGUAAUUUUUAAUGUGUAAAUUUUAGGAAAUUAUUUCUUUCCUAUUGAAAGUCAUUAUAUAUAUUUAAAAAAUUUUUAUUUAUACUAUUUUCAUUAAAAAUAUUUUGAUCACAUGUAUAUUUGUCCAUGUAAUUACAUUAUUUUUAGGCAUUUUUUUAUUCAGGUUUAUUUUUUAUUCACCUAUCAAGACAAAUAUAUUUUCGCCUCCCUAUGAAAAAAUAUUGCCUUCGUCAUUGCUAACCCCUAUUUAACUUUUAAUAUUUUAUGAAAAACUAUUUAAAUAGCUACUAAGACUUGAACAACUACUGACACUUAAACGCUAAUAAAAUAACUAAUUUCCUGAACAUACUCUACCUUGAUGUUUUUUAAUUCUAGCAUCUAGGCAUAAUCACGGUUCCAGAACCGCUGGUUUCGAUUUUUAAACCGCUGGUUUCAGUUUCAGAAAAGAUGAAACCAAAACUAAACUACUUUUAGACGGUUUUAAAGACGAUUUUAAGACCACCAGUUCCGGUUCAGUUUCGGUUUGAAACCGAAUUUGGAUAACUUUUUUUAACCUUUUUAAUUCUUUUUAGCUAAAUAAGAAAAUUAAUAACAAAUAACAAUAUUAAAUUAAAAAAAGACUAAAAUAGUAAAUUAAUAGUUUUAAAAUUUAUUAAAAAAUUAUAACUACACAAAACAUCAAUUUAAAAUUCUUUACUAGUAUUUAAUUUCUAUAAAUUUAAAUUGAGAGACAUGUUAAAAAAUUGACUUGUACUUAAUUUAUAUUAGGAGAAAAUAAAUGAUAGGAGAAAUUCAAUGAAGUUUAGAGAAAAAAAAUUGAUAUUGUGAAAAAAAAGCAAGAUUAUUAAGGUAUUUAUAGUUAACAUAUAAAUUUUUAUUCAUAAAAAUACCCUUCAAAUUUUCCGUUUUUUUACCGUUAUAAAGGAUAAAAAUCUCCUUUAAUUUAAUUUAACAAUGAAUAAAAAAAUAUCAUAAUAUGAAUUUUUUAUUUCAGAAUAUAUCUUUCAAAUUGCCCUUUUUUUAUCGUUAUAAUGGAGAAAAAUAUCUUUUUAUUUUAUUUAAAAGUCAAAAAUACAUCUUAAAUAAAUAUUGUUUAAUUUAUAUGUAAAAAAUAUAUAUUAUAAAGGGUAAAAGAUUUAAAUUAAAAAUAUUUAAAUGAGGAGCGAUUUUUUUCUCUUUUUCAAGUUAAAAUUUAUGGGUUAUAUUUAUAUUAAUAAAUUUUAAGAUGAUAGUAAAGUUAUUGCAUUUAAUGAUGAAAAUUAAAAUUAAUUUAACAAUUAAAAAUCAAGUGUGAAGUGUGAUAUUUUCUAUUUUUUAAAAUGGUUUUAAAUCAGAACCACCGGUUUUAAUUUAACAUAUAAGGAACUGCAACCAAAUCUUAAACCGCCAGUUUUGGUUACGGUUUGAAACCUUGAAUCAUUGACCACGGUUUUGUUUCGAUUUCAGUUCGGUUCCAGUUCAAAAUCGAACCGUGGUCAUGCCAGGAUCAACUCUAAACUGUCAACUAAUUUUAAUUUCAAAAUCCCAAGAAAAGAACCAUAAUUUAAAUAGACCAUCUAUCCCAACUUAGUUCAAUUCAAAAUUAAACUUUUUCAAUCUGGACUUGUCUAGUCAGAUUUUGAUCCAAACAAAACAAAUGGCAACCUCUACAAUAGGAGAAUAAUAAGUUUUUAUGUUGUAAAGAAAUAAUGACAUGAAGAAAUCUUAAUUUUAGGCAUCACUUGUGCAAUGACAUUUGAGGCAUCUAUUGCCCAGCCAUGUGAAAAAGACCAAUACAAGAAUAAAAUGUUUGGUGAAAUGAGAGAAUUCCAUUUCUGUUUUAUUAGUUGUUAGGUAACCAAAUAAUAAUUUAGAACAUCAAAUGAGUGGCACUUAGCCUUACACGCAUCCCAUUGUUGUUUGUCCAAUCAUAUUGUUCACAUGGUUCUUCACAAACUUUCUAUCUCUAACAAUGAGAUUGUACAAGUUCAAAUACGUUGUUUUUUCCCCUACUCAGAGUAGAAGUGUGUGAUAUAUCAUUUUCAUCCAUAAUGUGUUGUUAGUUUGCUAUAAAGUAAUUAGCUAGGGACCACGUGUAGUCUGGUUGAUCUUCUCACUUUUUAUGAGAAUAUGAGAAAUAAAUAAUCUCGAGUUUGGAUUUUAAUGAUAACUCACUAAUGAAGGAUGACUAUUCCUUGCCUGAUAAUAUUAUUUUAGUCUAUUAAAACUUUCCAUAAAUAAAAAGGUUAGGAUAUAAAAUUUAUCUAAUGUAAUUAUUGACUGUUUUUCUACAACAAUUUAGUUAGGUAGUAGAAGAAAAGAAACAAUAUGUUAACCAAUAACUGAAUAAGAAAUUUGUCAUUAAAAUAUAACCUAAUUUUGUGACUUUUCUUUUUGAGGAAAAAUUUUGUGACCCUUUUUUUUUUUGUUAAAAGUAAGUAAACUAGGAAUUUUAUUAAUUGGGAGAAAACUGUAUAUAGAGGUGGAUAUACAUCAAUAUGUUUUUAUAUUUUUAUAUUUUUAUAUAUGAAAUCUAAUAAUAAAUCACUUAUACAAACAAAAUAAAAACACCAUCUUGAUUUGAAAGAGCAUAAAAUAUUUGUUAUAGGCGAUCGCUUGCUUUACUUGUUGGCUAUUCAUUGUCACUAUUCGAUUCCAUAAUUUUUCAGAAAAAUAAUGUCAUACUAUUUUAGCGAGACAAAGUUGGUAGCUGUUCAUAGAUAUUACUUUUCUUUACUAUUCAUAUCUUUUGAAAAUCAUGUAUUUAGGUUUUAGAUUGAUCACGACACAAACCAAAUCAUUUCAUAUCUCAACAAAAGGAAAGCAAGCUACCCAUCUUCAUCAUUGGAUCAUAUCUCCGACAAACAAAUAAGUUUUAUUAAAAAAAAAUAAGUUUUAUAAGUUAAAAAAAGAAAUAGUUUAAUAUUUAUUAUGUUGAUAAUUUAAAAGAAUUAUAUAUUUUAUUUCAUAAUUUCAAUUCGUCCAAUUGAAUGCAUAAAUUAUGUAGUUUUCGAAAAAUAAAGCCUAAGUUAAAGUAAAUUUGUUAGGUUACCUAAUGACCUACAUAACAGUAGAGAUGCACAUUUGGUUUGACCGAACCGAAUUGAUUAAGUUCGGUGUGACCGAAUAGAUUUUAUGCUUACCAAAAUUAGACCGAAUACUAUGAAAAUCAGUCAGCAUUGAACCAAACUAGAUUGGUUUGGAUUUGAUUCAAUUAAUUUGAAUCGAAUCAUCUCUUUUGGACUUAAAAAUAAAUUCGAUUAGCUAUGCAAAUGACCGAACCAAAAAAUGAAAUUCAUUCGGUUAUUAAUAUUCAAAUCGAACAAUAACUUGAUAUCUUAAAAUCUAACCAAACCAAAUUGAAAUUAGUCUAUUCGGUUCGGUUAUUCGGCCCGGACCGAGUACUACUUACCCUUACAUAACAAGGCUAGCAAUUCCCUUGACAUACCAAAUUAAUGAAAACUGUUAUAAUUGAGAAAAAUCAAAUUUGAGACUUCUCACUCUUUACAUUAGUAAAAAAAAACCAAUAAGACUACGCCUAAUUGACAAGUAACAAUUUCUUUGUAAAGAUAUAAACAACAAAAUAACAUAUUUAUUCAUUAAUAACAUUUUAUAUAGGGAAAAUUUUCUAUUAAAUUAAAGAAAACAUUUUUUUGUUAGAAUAUUAAACAUAUUUUUUCCCAAAAAUAUUCAUUUAAUUUAUACUGGUAUGGUAUUAAAAUAAACAUUAAAUAUAUAGGGACUCAAAAAAUAUGAAAUGUGAAAAAAAUAACAUUAUAUAUAUAUAUAUAUAUAUAUAUAUAUAUAUAUAUAUUUCUAUUUAGGAACACAUGAUUUUAUUCCUAAGAUCAAGCUAUAUACACGUUCUUUCUUAUUUUACAUUCUGUUAACAUAACAAUCGUUUGUUAUAAAUGUAGUCAACCCGUACCCAUUCAAUGCUGUUGUGAAAAUAUCACUUAAUCGUUCUCCAAUCUCGACAUGUCCAAUAGAUUAAUUGGGGACUCAAAUAUCAUCGUACCAUCUUAGUAUUCAAUAAUUCAAAUUUCUCUUAUAUCCCUCUCAACCAUUAAAAUACAAAGUGUCUUUGUUCCCAAAUCUCUAUCUCUUUCUCUCACACAUAACACUCUCUCAAAACCCCAAACCAGAGCAAUAAUGUCUCGCCACAGACGGCAAGCAUCUCAAGUUCUUCCGCCGGAGUUACUGACCGGCGAUGAGUCUUUAGGAGACUUACUAGGGCAAGCAACGGCAAGAGUUCAAGGCAUUACUGCUAUAAAUGAGAAAUCCACAAAUCCUUCCAUAACUCAGCACCAUCAAGAGCAAUCCACAACUGCUACUGCUACUGGUACAGCCUCUCAUUUUCCGGCCAAGAAGCCUCCUCCAGCCGGAAAACCUGCAUGAUUCACGGAGGAAGUUGCAGGUUCAGUUCAGUCCAAGAAAUCUGGAGUAGUCUUAAUAAUUUCUGCAUCUCUGUCUCCUCUUAUCUUUGGUUGUAAUCUUGCAUCUUUCUUUUCUUUUUCUUUUUUUCCUUCUGCUUUAAUUUUGAAGAAAAAGAACUUUUCUCACUCCAGCUUGUUAUUAUUUAUUUAUUUAUUUUGCUGCCAUGAAUAUUUCUAUCCGGUAUUUAAAGGUUGACGAGAGAAUAAACCCUUUCAGGCUAACUUAUUACAUUAUUUAAUAGGAUUAAUCAAUUUUUGUUUUUCUGCUAAAAAAAAAAAGGUUUAAUCCAGAGUAACCAAGGUUAACUGUUGUGUUAGAAUAUGCAUUUUGAUUAAUUAAAAAUUGUGAAAAUUUUAAGCUGGGGCUCACUGCACACUACUUUCAGAAAAUGAAAUUAUCAGUUGUCUCUUUCUUGAUUCCAAA
This 32651-nucleotide long non-coding RNA is filed under the name Jatropha curcas. Its description in RNAcentral is "long non-coding RNA (JCUR_LNC000637)". The record is from RNAcentral. Lineage: Eukaryota; Viridiplantae; Streptophyta; Magnoliopsida; Malpighiales; Euphorbiaceae.